AGGACAUUAGUUAAAAAUCAUAACAAUUAAAUUGCAUUUAAAAAUCAUAUAAUUUAAUAAAAAUAUUAUAUAUGUCUU
This 78-nucleotide transfer RNA is filed under the name Aphaenogaster famelica. RNAcentral's name for it is "tRNA-Ala". The record is from RNAcentral. Lineage: Eukaryota; Metazoa; Arthropoda; Insecta; Hymenoptera; Formicidae.